Long non-coding RNA from Lemur catta (Ring-tailed lemur), 833 nucleotides. RefSeq lists it as uncharacterized. Lineage: Eukaryota; Metazoa; Chordata; Mammalia; Primates; Lemuridae. The transcript has 4 exons. The record is from RefSeq and is a predicted model, not a curated record.
UCCGCCAAGCUCGGCUCUGUCUCCACUGUUCUUUCUCCUCUGCUCCGGGAGGCUCAGUGAUUGCCACAGCCUCUGUCACCCUGCAGGAACCACUGACAUUCAGGGAUAUGGCCUCAGAAUUCUCUCCAGAGGAGUGGACAUGCCUAGAUUCUACUCAGAGCACUUUGUAUAGGGAUGUGAUGUUAGAAAACUACAGAAACCUGAUCUCUCUGGGUCUUGCUGUGUCUAACCCAGACCUGAUCAUCUGUCUGGAGUAGAGGAAAGAGCCCUGGAAUGUGAAGACACACGAGAAAGUAGCCAAACCCCAGGUAUUGAGAGUCCUGGAACUGGGUUCAAAGCUGUGGUUCAAAUCCCAGAUGACACUUUGUGCAUGUUAACUUCAUAAAGGAGAGCUUGGAAGAGUGAAGCAUAAACAAUAAUACUUUAUUAUUCGUCAGCCCUAAAGUCUCUCCUGAAUUUGUAUCCUGUGUGGCAGAGAGAGCCAAACUCCCCAAGAGUUCAAUCCUUGCCCCAGAUUUGUUUACUUUUGCUUGGUUGCCCCUCCUGUCUUUGUUUCAUUUAAAAUAAUAAUAAUAAAAGAACAGGUGAAGUGGAGACUCCCAAGAAAAGGGUCCCACCAACUCCCUAGGACUGGCACUGUGGGCUCAAGUAGGUUUUCAAAGCUCUAGGUCAGAAUUAAAAACAGCAUUCACACAAGUUUUUUGGACACUCAUUUUCCUUCUUUUUUUUUUUUUUUUGAGAAUAUGUUAUUUUAAUGUUUCUCCUUCCAUUGGUUCAUAUGAUGCAGGUAUGAGGCAAAUGUUAGCAUGCUUUCUUAAGGUUUAAACAUAACC